This 31326-nucleotide long non-coding RNA is filed under the name Populus tremula. Its description in RNAcentral is "long non-coding RNA (PTRE_LNC001616)". The record is from RNAcentral. Lineage: Eukaryota; Viridiplantae; Streptophyta; Magnoliopsida; Malpighiales; Salicaceae.
UGCCAAUGCAUCCCCAAAGCUUCCUGCUUGAUUUCUUACAUGGGAUGGAUCCACCUUGUAGAAUACCGGAAUAACUCUCUGUCCAUUGUUUUUUCUACGCUCAAGAAUCUUAGCAAGCUCCUCCAAGCACCAUUUGGAAGAUGCAUAGUUUGCAGAAAAAACAAUCAAAGAAAGCUUGGCCUCUUCAAUUGUUCUCAGAAGUGAUGCCGAAAUCUCAUCUCCUCUCACAAGCUGAUCAUCUAUGAAAGUUAGGAGUUGUUUCCGUUUCAAAGCAGCAUGGAGGUGGCUGGUAAAACCAACACGAGUGUCUUCUCCCCUGAAACUAAGGAAGACAUCAUAUUUAAUUCCUUGUGGCUGGGCGGUGGUUAAGGUGGAAGGAGUAGAUGGGGAUGGAGAAACAAGGGCGGUGGUUAAGGUGGAAGGAGUAGAUGGGCAUGGAGAAACAAGGGUGGUUAAGGUGGAAGGAGUAGAUGGGGAUGGAGAAACAAGGGCGGUGGUUAAGGUGGAAGGAGUAGAUGGGCAUGGAGAAACAAGGGCGGUGGUUAAGGUGGAAGGAGUAGAUGGAGAUAAAUGACGGUUUCGUAUGAUGAAUCUCCAGAUAUAAGCAAACACUUCGAAGAAACAAGAGUAAUUAGACUCUGGUGGUAAGGUAGGCAUGGAGGGAGAGAGCGGAAGUAACUCAAGGAAAAAAGAUGAGGCUGAUUUUGAAUCAGUAGCUUAGGCUUUACGUGUUUAAGACCCUGCCUUACGUAUAAUUUAUAAUAAUCAAAUCCAAGAAUUUUCUUAGAACAUUACAAGAUUGCACAUUGUUGAUUUCCUGGAGAUUCCCCAGUUACAAAGUGAUGUGAUAGGAAAAGGCAUUUAUACGUUGUUUUGUUUUUAUGGUAUUCCCAGUGUUUUUAUAAAUUUUAAUUUUUAAAAAAAUUAAAUUUUUAUUAUUAUUUUAAUUUACUGAUAUAAAAAUAAUUUUAAAAAUAAAAAGCAUAUAUAUAUAUUCUUGUUUAUGAUAUCACAGCUGUGAUAGAUACCUUUUUUAAUAUUUCAAAUGUAUUAGCCAUUCACUUGGCGGAGUAGCAGAUCUUCUCUUUAACUUUUUUAUUAUAUAUUUUUUAAAAACACUAAACACUUAUAUGUGUCCCACAUCGAUCAUUCUUUAGUCUAUUAAUUUUUAAUUCAAAUUCUGUUAUAAUUUUCCAGGAAAUUACGAAUUUCUUGUCUUUGUUCUUUAAGGAACGGUUGCCUUUGAUAAUGGUCAUAUCAAAAUCUGUCAUAGCACUUUUUAGAAAUAUACUGUGUUUUAUAAAAAAUUAAUUUUUUAUUUAAAUUUAAUAUUUUUUAAUUUUUUUGAUAUACUAAAAUUAAAAAUAAUUUUUUAAAACAUAAAAAUAAUAUUUUAAUAUAUUAUAAUUUCCCUAGCAGCCCAAGGGAGCUGCCGUGCACAUGGAAGGAAAGGCGCGUUUAUCCUUGCUUGUAAACAAUGUUUUUAUAAAUUUUGAUCUUUUUUUAUUUUUUAUUUGAAAUUAUUAUUUUUUAUUUUUUUCCGGUUUGUUUUAAUAUGUCAGUGUAAAAAAAAAUUAUUUAAAAAUAAAAAAUUCAUUGUUUUAAUAUAUUUUUAAAUAAAAUACACUUUAAAAAAUAAUUAUUACUAUACUUAUAAAAGUUUUCUAUAUUUUCAGUCCAAGUAUUUGCCGGAGGAAUUUUUUGCUUUCAUGUUAUAUUAUAAUAGUUACGAUGAUUUAAUUGAAAAAAACAUGUUAGAGAGCUUAUUUGAUAUUGUACUAGUGAUUAAUUUUUAAAUUGUUUUUUUAUUAGAAAUACAUUAAAAUAAUAUUUUUUAUUUUUUAAAAUUUAUUUUUGAUAUGAGAACCUCAAAAUAAUAUAAUUAAAACAUAAAAAAAUUAAUUUAAAAUAAAAAAAAUUCAAAUUCAAGUAUUUUCCUUCCUGGAAAUUUUCCAUGCACAAAAAGCUUCAAGUCUUAUUAUUUGUGAUGCGGUAGGAAAGGGCGUUUAGGCUUUUGUUUGUCUUUGCUGUGUAAUCAAUGUUUUAAUAAAUUUUAAAAUUAUUUUAUAUUUUAUUUUAGAUUAAUUUUUUUUAGUUUUUUUUAGUUUUUUUUGGUGUUAAAAAUAAUUCUUUAAAAGUAAUAAAAAACAUUAUCUUAAUGUAUGUUCAAUCAAAACAUAUUUUAAAAAUUAAUUUCUACUACACUCAUAAACACCCUUUAUAUCUUCAAUCCAAGUGUAUGCACAUGCCAAAGACUUUUUUGCAUUCACGCCUAUUGUAUAUUUGAUUGAGAAGAACUUAUUAAAGAAUGUACUUGGUAUUGAGAUAAUAAUUGUUAUUUAAGAUAAUUUUCAUUUGAAAAUACAUUAAAAUAUUUUUUAAAAAUUUAUUUUUAAUAUCAAUAUAUUAAAACAAUAUAAAAAUAUAAAAAAUUAAUUAAAAAUAAAAAAAUCAAAUUCAUGUAUUUUCUCAGACGUUAGAGAGGGUGCACAUCUACUUGGAAAUUUCCUGUGGACAGAAAGGCUUAAUGUCUUGUUAUUUGUUUUUUCUUUUUGUGAUUUGGUAGGAAGGGUAUCGAGUCUUCCAUACAAGUGUUUGCACGAACUAGGACUUUGUUGACUUCCAAUUAUAUUAUAGUGAUUAUAAUUAUUUCAUUGGGAAAAACUUGUUACUCUGCCCCAAUAAUAGGAAUUUUUUAAAAAACAAAUUGAUACAGUUAGAGAAAUAAUAAUAUGGUUUAAUUUUAUUUAAAAAGGAACAUGGUUUUUUUUUAUAAAAAAACUGCUAUUUUAAACUACGAUUUUAAUAUAAAAGCGAUUCAGAAUCACAAUCGUGGUUCUGUUUACUGCUUUUGGCAAUAUAAUUGGCAUGCAUCCAUGUAAUUAUAAUUACUUCUUCUUUUUACAUGCUUUCUUCCACCUCAUUACACACAAUCUAUUCAAAUAAAUCGGCAGAUGCCUUUUCCUUUUCCUUUUAUAUAUAUUUAUUUAUUGUGAAGAAGAAGAAGAAAAAGAAGUCGUCUUGAAGGAGAGAGGAAGGGACUGGGGAUCGAUGGGGCCAAUCCUCUGGGACGACGACUUGACCUUAAGUACUCUUCCUGGCGAGUGCUUGGGCACCGUGUUCGGGAAGCUGAGUUUGGAAAUUACGUGUUUCAUCAUGGCUGUUGACGAGAAAAAGAAGAAGAAGAACAAGAAACAGUAAAAUAAUUAUUUUUUAUCAUUUAACUAGCUAGAUUUUUUUUAUAAAAUUCAUUUAUCAUGGUCAUUGUUGUAAUUAUCAAAGACAAAAUAAUUUUUAAACAUUUUACAAGUACAAAAAAAUAAUUUAAAUAUUCUUAAAAAUAAAGUUCUUAAAACUAAUAUUCAUGAGUAUUUUGGUCUUUUUAACAUUUUCAUAACAAAAAUAACUAUAUUACUCUUAAAAAAAAUAAAAUAAAAAUAAAAUAAAGAAGAAGUUCUUAAAACUUUAUUUAUUUUUUUUAAUUUUUUCAGAUUGAACUGAGUUAACCCAUAAAACCCGGGACUCGAUCCCUUGGCCGGGUUAACUUCCAGAUCGAGUUUAAUAACUAUAGUUUUUGCAUGUCGAUGAUAUUUUUGCCUAACAUUAUAUUAUAAUAGCUAUCAUAAUCUGAUUGAAAAGAAUUUGUCAGAGAAAUUAUUUGUCAUUGUAAUAAUAAUUAUUUUUAAAGUAUUUUUAACUUUAAAAUAUAUCAAAAUAAUAUAUAUUUUUUAUUUUUUAAAAUUAAUUUUUGAUAUCAACACAUUAAAAUGGUAUAAAAAAUAAUAAUUUAAAAUUAAAAAAAUAAAAAAAUUCUACUCAUUUCUUUCCGCUUUCGUUUUUCUGCUUAAGGCUGGAUGGGGGCCAAAAAUGACAUGCAAGCUCGAAAAUGGUAAGGGUAAAAAAAUUCAAGCUUGCAUGUCAUUUUUGGCCCCCAUCCAGCCUUAAGCAGAAAAACGAAAGCGGAAAGAAAUGCUUUUUCUUAAAACCUUGAUCCAGUGACCUUAGUUUGGAUUAGAUUUAAAUUCAUUCAGAUGAAGAUUAACCCUAUUCAUGAAAAUUUAAGAUUUAAAUUAUUAAUCAGAUGAAAAAUUAAAUUAUUCUAGUGUUAGUGUAGGGUUUAAGUAAUAGACUACCACUAAACUAAGCUACUUAGAUAAGCUCAAAACAAUUGAACUCUUAUUCAUGAAAAUUUAAAUUAUUUCUUUGUCAACGAAGAGGGCUGGACAACUUGCUAUGUCUUUUAAUUAAAAUUAAAAUUAAAAAAAACUAAAAAUUAUUCGUAAUUAUAAGAGACAAAAUAACUCUUAAAAAUAUUAGAAGUACAAAAAAAUAAUUUAAAUAUUUUUAAAACUAAUAUCCAUGAGUGUUUUGGUCUUUUUAACAUUUUCAUAACAGAAAUAACUAUAUUACUCUAGAAAAAAAUAAAAAAAAAUAAAAAAUAAAGAAGAAGUUGUCUUGAGUAGGGCCGGGGAUGGGCCAAUCAUCUUUUUGAUGGUCGGGCAAUAAUAGCCAUUUGGAUGGGGACGACGACUUGACCUCGACUCUUCCAGGCAAGUGCUUGGGCAGUGUGUUUGGGAAGCUAAGUUGCCUUGUGACAUUACGCAAUUAUGUAUUUCUUGUCUUAACGGUGGCUUUCGAUAAUUAAUGGUCAUAAUGAUUAGAGACAAAUUAAUUUUUAACCGUUUUAGAAGCACUGAGGAAUGUUUCAAAUAUUCUUUGAAGUAAAAUUUUAAAAACUAGGAUUCAUGGGUGUUUCGGUAAAAUAAUUAAAGUAAAAUUUUUAGUUAUAAUCAAAGUGAAUGAGAGAUAUUUGCAUCUUAAAAGCAUUCAUGUUUUUUAGACAGCACAUGUUACAUUUCUCCGCAAACAUGUGUGCAUGACCGGGGAUGGGCCAAUCCUCUUCUUCAUGCCCCUGCAAUAAUUGCUAUAUUGAAGGGAUGAUGACUUAAACUAAGUAUGUAUUUAGAAGUAUAGUUGUGAUUUUUUUUUAAUUGUUGUUAUUUUAAAAUAAAUUAAAAUAAUUUUUUUUUAUUUUUAAUUUUUUUAAAAUUAUCAUAUUAAAAUAAUUUAAAACAUAGAAAAAAUAUUAAUUUUUAAUAAAAAAAAUUUAAUUUAUUUUAAAAAUAUAGCUUUAACCACGUUGCAGACGGUGUCGGCAGAUGCAGAUGCCUUUUCUUUUUUUCUUUUUUAUCGGCAGAUGCCUUUUUCUUUUUAGAUGCCUUUUGCCUUUUCCUUUAUAUAUAUAAAGGAAAAAGAAAACACGUAAUUUCGAGGAAGACAUAAGGUCAAGUCGUCGUCCCCACCCAUCGAUAUGGCUAUUAUUGCCCGAGCAAUAAUGUCUUGUGGACAGAAAGGAUUCAAAUAUUCUUUGAAGUAAAAUUUUAAAAACUAGGAUUCAUGGGUGUUUCGGUAAAAUAAUUGAAGUAAAAUUUUUAGUUAUAAUCAAAGUGAAUUAGAGACAUUUGCAUCUUAAAAGCAUCCAUGUUUUUUUAGACAGCACAUGUGACUUUUCUCCGCAGACCAACACCACUUUUUAUGACUGUAUUAAAGCAUAACGACGUCAUUUUUUUAAUGGUUAGACACGUGUGCAUGACUGCGUAAUGGUUUGCCUCCAACAAUUAUUGCUGUAAUUAGAAGAAACAUAUAUUCUCGUGUAUCAUCAUAUCACAACUGUGAUAGAUAAUUUUUUUAAUAUUUCAAAUGGAUUAGUUGUUCCCUUAGCGUAUUAGCAGCUUUAGGAUCUUUUGUUAUUUUCUCUUCAAAUUUAUUUUUUUAUUAUUAUAUAAACACUUCUGUCCCACAUUGUUGACUUCCUGGGAAUUUCCCAUGUAGAAAAGGCUUCAUGUCUCGUUAAUUAUCAAAACAAGACAAAAGAAUGGCGGGCUAUAAUUCUCCGUGUGAAGAAGAAGAAGAAGUCGUCUGGAAGGAGAGAGGGAAGGGACCGGGGAUGGGCCACUCCUCUUCUUCAUGCUCCUGCAAUAAUAGCCAUAUUGACGGGGACGACGACGUGACCUUACAAUUAAAUUUGUAUCAUCAUUCUUACAAGAAUAUAAUAAUAUGAUCAACAAUUCUUUAAACAGUGUCUCCAAAAAGCCGUGUUUCCUGGAAAUUUAUUAUGUAUAAAAGGCUUCGGGUUUUUUUUUUUUUAUUAGGGCAUCAAGUCUUCGAUCAAGUGUUAACGCGUAUAGAGGAAUUUGUUGACUUCACAUUAUAUUAUAAUGGUUAUUAUGAUUUUACUGGGAAGAAAUAACGAGUUAUAUUGCUCAUUAUAUUACUCUGCCCCAAUAAUAGGAAUUUUUUUUAAAAAUGAUACAUUUAGAGAAAUAAUAUGGUUUAAUUUUUUUUUAGAAAACAACGUAGUUUCAAAAAAUCUGCUAUUUUAAAUCUCGAUAUCUGUGAUUUUGCAAAAUCACAAUCUAUCCAAAUAAAUCGGCAGAUGCCUUUUCCUUUUUCCUUAAUAUAUAUUUAUUUAUUGUGGAGAAGAAGAAGAAAAAGAAGUCGCCUUGAAGGAGAGAGGAAGGGACGGGGGAUGGGGCCAAUCCUCUUCUUCAUAUUGACGGGGACGACGACUUGACCUUAAGUAGUCUUCCUGGCAAGUGCUUGGGCAGCGUGUUCGGGAAGCUGAGUUUGGAAAUUACGUGUUUCUCGUCACCAGUGCUUUGACUGUUGAUAACGACAACUGGUGAUUUUGGGCCUGCUUUGGCAACUUGAUAGAAUGUUUUUGAUCCUCACCAUUUUCAUGAUGUGAGCUUGCAUGUCAUUUUACGCCUACAUCCAAUCUUAUGCGGAAAAACGAAAGAGGAAAGAAAUACUCAAUGAUUUUAUGAGAACCUGAAAACGAAUGUUUUUGCAUCUCAUUUCUGGCCUCCAGUAACCUUAGUUUGGACUAGAUUUAAAUUAAAAUAGAUGAGAAUUAUCCCACAAAACUACUAAAAUUAAAAACUAUGAAUAUAUUAUUGAGACUUUUACUGAUAACAAAAUGAACUAUGAACAAUCAGUACUAUCAAUGGUCAUAUUAAACUACAUAUAUAUAAAAAAAUAAAAUUACAAAUGCAGUAUCCACAAAGUUUAAGUCUUGAGUAACAAAGUUAUCUAUACAUACCAUGCAUUGAUGAUAUGAGAACCUGAAAAUAAACCCAAUAAACCUUCAAAGUACAGGUCUUUAAAAUUAAGAAAAAAAAAAAUUCUUCAUGUGAACUGAGCAUAUGAAAAUAAUAAGAGAAAAAAAGGGAACCUGCUAAGGGGUUUACUGAUAAUUAAUCUUCAUGUGAACUGAGGGCACAUUUUUUUUUAUCCUUUUUUUUCCAGUUUAUCUUAAACGUUAGAUUUACUGAUAAUUAAAUUUUAGAUUUUUAUUUUUCUCCGUGCGAGGUUUUCCCUUUGUAUGCAGCCCCUUUAACAGUUAAUCUGCAUUACAUGGGACAUGGAAAGUGAGCUCAGAAUAGGAAAAAGAUGUGAAUUUGUUGACUACACAUUAUAUUAUAAUGGUUAUUAUGAUUUUAUUGGAAAGAAAUAAUGAGUUAUAUUACUCAUUAUAUUAGUCUGCCCUUAUAAUUGGAAUUUUUUUAAAAAAUGAUACAGUUAGAGAAAUAAUAUGGUUUAAUUGUUCUUUAGAAAACAACAUAGUUUCAAAAAAUCUGCUAUUUUAAAUCUUGAUUUUAAUAUAUCUGUGAUUUUGCAAAACCACAAUCUAUCCAAAUAAAUCGGCCUUUUCCUUUCUCCUUUUUAUAUAUUUAUUUAACUGAUGACAGAAUGAACUAUGAACAAUCAAUGCUAUCAAUGGUCAUAUUAAACUACAUAUACAUAAGAAAAUAAAAUUACAAAUGCAUUAUCCACAAAGAUUAAGUCUUGAGUAACAAAGUUAUCUACACAUACCAUGCAAUGAUGAUACGAGAACCUGAAAAUAAACCCAAUAAGCCUUCAAAGUCCAGGUCUUUAAAAUUAGAAAAAAAAAUCUUCAUGUGAACUGAGCAUAUGAAAAUAAUAAGAGAAGAAGAGGGAACCUGCUAAGGGGUAGUAGAAACCAACACCUUGAAGGUGUUUGCCAUCUCUUGGAGUAUGGCUAUUAGCAGCAACAAUUCUAUAAAAUGCCCUGUUUUUGCAUCCCAGUCUUGCUAAACCAAUCUUCACCGCCAUUUUCUCUACUAAAAUAAAUAUCUUAGUAUUGGGUUGUGACUGAUUUUAUGAGCUUUCUUAUUAUCAUAUAGAACCAAUGAUAUAAAUUCAUGUUUUCUAUAUAUUUUUUUUCUUUUCCUUUUCGUUGCUUUCUUCACAUUCUUCUUGCCAACCAAGCUUGAACUUGGUUUCAGAGUGGGAGAAGACCUUAUAAUUUACAAUUUAUUGCCAUCAUUGGCCCCAGUCAGAUAUACUUUUAUUUUUUACAGUACUUUCGUCAAUGGUUCUUUCAUACACACACAUGUUGAUUUCUAAGCUGAUAAUGUUCAAAAAAAACUUCACACUUUUUUGAUAUUGUGCAAGCACUCAUAUCAUUUGAUGUAUUCCAUAAAAAUAGCGUGCAUUCGACCAUUAAGUUAGAGACUAUUUAUCGGUGGGUUGCUUCUUACAAUGGCCCUAAAGAUGUGAGUAUAGCCUUCCCCAGAAGUCUUUUAUCUUUCAUAUAUUUAUGGUGUAAUGGGCACAAUUUGGUAAAUCAUAAUGGAAACCAGGUCUAAAACCAAGUCUUGUUUAUUGUUCCAGGAAACUUAGAUUUUACACGAACAAUGCUAAAUGCCAUUUCUAGCAUGUUAUGAGAAGUAGUUAUGAGACACUCAUCAAUGAGCGUGCUUAUAUAAAAAAUCACAGGCCGACAAUAAAAGCCAUCUAAUAUUCUUAUAGCUUGGUUUUGUUCAAAUCUUCUAAAGAAAUAUGGAUUGUUUAUUCAAUGCACUGCACCAUUCUACAGUGCUUUUACCAUAGAGAGAGGAACCCAAAUCUAUAAGAGCCAACGGAUUGCCUUGUACAUGACUUACAAUCUUUUCUAUCAAUUCUCUAUGAUCAAUUGUGGGGUUGCAAUUCUUCAAGGCUUUUGAGCUAAAGAGUUUAAGAGAUUCUUCAUAGUUCAACCCCUCAACCUCGUAUGUUUCGUCUACUACAUUUUUAAGCACUUGCUUGUCCCUACUUGUUAUGAGAACUUUACUGCCCGAACCAAAUGAAUGUGUCGUCCAUCAAGCAAAUCUUUCCAUUCUUCCAAAGGCAUGAAAUCAUCCACAUCAUCCAGAACAAUAAAAACCUUUUUACGACGAAGUCUCUCCCUCUCAAAAGAAUCUCGAAAACUAAAGGAGCCAAUGUCAUAAUUUCUUGGCCAAGCAGCUGUGAAAGAAAGCUUCUUUGCAAAUCAGCCAUGGAACCAGUUUUUAAUUCUUGCCUAAAGUUUGCGAAAAAGAUUCCUUCAAAUCGAGAACGAACCUUGUUGCACACAGCUUGAGCAAUCGUUGUCUUACCGAUACCAUCCAUUCCCCAUAUCCCUACAAUGAGAACAUCUGGAGAUUCCAUAUUUAACAAAGAUUCAACUUUGUUAACGCGAACAUCAAUUCCAAAUAGACCCGUAGUGUGACUUGAAGACACAGCUUGCAAUUUGUUCGAAACAUCUCCAAUGAUUUUCUCAAUAAAUUCAGACUCCAGCCUGACAAACAAGAAGAACACACCUAAUUGUUAGCCAAAAUGGACCGGACAAGAAGAAACAUAUAAACAUGCUCACUCCUUAGUAGCUACAUCUAUACAUAGUAGACACGUAUGAGUAAUUGAGCAUCAUUAUUGGCAAUGGAUAGUGCUAAUGUAACACAUGAAUCAUAAACCUGGACAAGAUUCUCUUACUGGGCCUCUCGAGAGAAUGAAUUUGAGUUUAGAAAUAUGCAGCAGCUCCCUACUUGUAUCACGCUACAGUAAUCAAUCAUUGAAACUGGAAACUACUUGUAAGUGUAUAUCUAAGAAAAUCAAUGAAAUGCAAAUGCAUAAUAUGUUUUCUCAAAUCAUCAUAUCAUAUAAUCCUUUCAAUUAAAAAAGUUUAAGUUGUUAGGAGAAAAUCUCAAAAUAUAUAAUUUAUAGUAUUUUUUAAGUCAUCAUGAUCUUUUUCACCUCAAAUUAAUGCCCCAAUUUCAAGUGAAACGAUAGAAGAAAACAUUGAAACGUUGAUUGUCCUGAUAAAAAUUAAUAUAAGGAUUCCUAAAUAUCUUCUUUCUGUCUCCUAAAGCUUAAGAUCUGUACAAGUGUUUCGCUACAACGUUUUCAAAAUCAAAUAAAAUAAAUAUAAAUUCACAGAGCUCAUCAUUCUCAAUAAUUUUAAAUUAAAUCUCAAAUCCUCAACAAAUGAACGAAUAUUUUUCUUAUGGGAUAUAUUUCAGGAGCUUACUCAGACUUCCCUAAGCUCCAUCCAGGUAGAUUGGCUGCAUCCGUCAAAGCGUCACUGAAGCUCUGCACUUCUUCCAACGUCAGAGCUUUAUUCCUUAUAAGUCUAGCAAAUGCAUCCCCAAACCUUCCUGUUUGAUUUCUUACAUGGGAUUGAUCCACCUGGUAGAACACAGGAAUAACUAUCUGUCCAUUGUUUUUUGCACGCUCAAUAAUCUUUGCAAGCUCCUCCAAGCACCAUUUGGAAGACGCAUAGUUUUCAGAAAAAACAAUCACAGAAAGCUUGGCCUCUUCAAUUGUUUUCAGAAGUGACGCCGAGAUCUCAUCUCCUCUCACAAGCUCAUAAUCUAUGAAAGUUAGGAUUUGUUUCCGGUUCAAAGCAGCAUAGAGGUGGCUGGUAAAAGCAACACGAGUGUCUUCUCCCCUGAAACUAAGGAAGACAUCAUAUUUAAUUACUUGUGGCUGGGCGGUGGUUAAGGUGGAAGGAGAAGAUGGGGAUGGAGACAUCAUAUUGUUUUGUGGAGAGACAGUCGAAGAAACAAGAGUAAGACUCUGGUGGUAAGGUAGGUCUGGAGGGAGAGAACGGAAGUAACUCAAGGAAAAAAGAUGAGGCUGAUUUUGAAACAGUAGCUUAGCUUGAUUUUUGAAACAGUAGCGAGGAGAUGGCAUCAAAUCCCAGAAUUUUCUUAGGCAUUACGGAAGUAACCAUUUGUUGAUUUCCUGGAAAUUCCCCAGUUACAAAGUGAUUUUGAAUCAGUAGCUUAGGCUUUACGUGUUUAAGACCCUGCCUUAGGCAUAUGUAUAAUUUAUAAUAAUGGGGGCAUCAAAUCCAAGAAAUUUCUUAGAACAUUACACGAUUGCACAUUGUUGAUUUCCAUUGUUAAAAAUCAAAAGCAUAUAUAUUCUUGUUUAUCAUAUCACAGCUGUGGCCUGUGAUAGAUAACUUUUUUAAUAAUUCAAAUGUAUUAGGUAUUCACUUGGCGGAGUAGCUGAUCUUUUGUUAUUUUCUCUUUUUAACUUUUUUAUUAUGUAUGUUUUUAAAACACUAAACACUUCUGUCCCACGUCAUUCUUUAGUCUAUUAAUUUUUACUUCAAAUUCUUUUAUAAUUUUCCUGGAAAUUACGAAUUUCUUGUCAAAAUGUGUCAGAACACAUUUUUGAAAUAUACUGUUUUUUUUUUAAAAAAUUAAUAUUCUUAUAUUUUUAAAUUAUUUUAAUAUAUUAAAAUUAAAAAUAAUUUUUUAAAAAAUAAAAAUAAUAUUUUAAUACAUUUUAAUUUCCCGUAGCAGCCCAAUGGAGCUGCCAUGCACAUGGAAGGAAAGGCGAUUUUAUCUUUGCCUAUAAACAAUGUUUUUAUAAAUUUUUAUUUUUUUAAUUUUUUAUUUUAAGAUUAAUUCGUUUUAGUUUUUUUCGGUUUGUUUUAAUAUAUUUGUCUUAAAAAUAAUUUUUUAAAAUAAAAAUAUAUUAUUUUAAUGUAUUUUAAAAUGAAAAACACUUUAAAAAACAAUUGUUAUCAUACUCAUAAACACUUUCUAUAUCUUCAGUCCAAGUAUUUGCCUCGCGGAGGACGCUUUUGCCUUUAUAUUAUAUUAUAAUGGUUAUUAUGAUUUAAUUGAAAAGAACUUGUUAGAGAGUCUGUUUGAUAUUAUACUAGUAGUUAUUUUUCAAUUUGUUUAUUAUAAAUAUAUUAAAAUAAUAUUUUUUAUAUUUUAAAAUUUAUUUUUGAUAUUACAAAGUCAAAAAAAUAUAAUUAAAACACAAAAAAAUUAAUUUAAAGUAAAAAAAAAAAAUCAAAUUCAAGUAUUUUCUCAGGGCAUUACAGAAGGUGCCCAUUGUUAGCUUCCUGGAAAUUUUCCAUGCACAAAAGGCUUCAAGUCUUGUUAUUUGUGAUGCCGUAGGAAAAGACAUUUAGGCUUUUGUUUGUCUUUGCUAUGUAAACAAUGUUUUAAUAAAUUUUGAAAUUUUUUUAUAUUUUAUUUUAGAUUGAUUUUUUAUGUUUUAACAAAUAACAAGACAUUAAGCCUUUAAUAAAUGUUUUUUUUUUUUUUAGGAAAAGACAUUUAGGCUUUUAAUCUUGUUAUUUUAGAUUGAUUGACAUUUAGGCUCUUGUUAUUUGUUUUUUAUUUUUGUGAUUUUGUAGGAAGGGCAUCGAGUCUUCCUUAAGUCAUCUGCCGAUGAUAGAUUAUGUGUAAUGAGCUGGAAGGAAUCAUGUAAAAAGAAGAAAUAAUUAUAAGCCAUAUUGAUGGGGACGACGACUUCAUCUCAAGUCUUCCUUUAAAUUACGUGUUUCCUUUUUCCAAAUAUUUUCUCAUGUACAGAGGUGUUGACUUCCCGGAAAUUUCCUAUGUACAAGUCUUGUUCUUUGUUUAUUUGUGAUUUGGUAGCAAUGAUCUACACGCAACGAUCAAGUGUUUGUUAUUUGUUUUUUUUUUAUCUGCAUCGGUUAAAAACCAGACCAGCAAACCCGUUUGACCUACAAGGUCAACUCCUAGAUUUGAUUUAAUAAUUAUAUAGGAUACAUUCCUAUUAAGACGAAGCUACUUUGUUAGGCUUGAAACAAUUGAACUCUUAGAGCAAUUGUUUUGUCUCUUUUUUACAUGCUUCAAAAUACUAUUUUAUCAUUUAAGAUCAUUGCUUUGUCCAUGAAAAGGGUUUAGACAACUUGCUAUGUCUUCUAAUUAAAAUUUUUAAAACUAGGAUUGAUGGGUGUUUCAGUCUUUUAAUGUUUUAAUAGUAUAGUGAAAUAACUACAUUUGUUCUUAAAAGAAAAAUAAAAUAAAAUUAAUAUUUAGGGGUUUUUUUAUAUUUUUUUCAAGGCUUUUUAGUUAUAAUAAAUGUAAAUUAAAGGCAAUUUAGUCUUUUAAAAAAUAAAAAUAUAAUUAAAAAAUAAAAAUUAAUUGAUAUGUGUGUCUGGAUGACAUCCAUGCUCUAUGAGUAUCGCAUGUAACAUCUCUCAAUAGACAAACACUUUUUUUGUGAUAGAGCUGAAAGUGUCACAACAUCAUCUAAUUGCUAAUGACACAACAAUCAGCAAUAAAUAUUUUCUCAAGUAGAAGGACAUACAGGAACAACAAUCAGCAGAUGUUCCAGAUGUUUAAUAAUUUUUUUAAUUAAUAGAAACAAUAAAAAUGUUACCAAAAUACUAUGCAUAUAGACCAAAAAAAAUAACUAUUUAUUGCGACAGUUUAAUUAUAUUUUUCCACUUCUAAGAAAAAACCCAAAAGCUUAUGAGUUAAGGGCAAUUCAAUUUUUUGGCAUCGGUCAAUUAAUUAUUUGACCGGGAAACAUGUAUGUAACCAAAAGCUUUCGAGUUGAGGGCAAUUUUUUGACUAGGACAUAUGUAACUUUUGUAUUUUUUAUGCAUGAUAAAAUGAUUUUUUCAAACCCGGUAUAAAAAAAAUCUAAUGUUGUUUAUUAAGGAUAUUUAGGUUUUUUAGAUACAGUAAAAAAAACAUAUUUGCUCUUGAAAAUCAAGAAAAAAUCAAUCAUUAGUCUAGAGAUUUUUUUUUAUUCAUAUAGGUUUUUUUUUUAAUUCCAGAACUAUAAAGAACAAUUUAAUCCUUUUAAAAUAAUUAACUAAUUUUUAAAUUCAAAAACUUAUUGAUACAUACAAUUCACAUGUCAUCGCAUGGGAGACACUUGUACUCUUUGGACGAUGUGCUCGUGUCUCUAGUGGUCAAAUCUACCCUUUUAGUGGAGGUUAGUUUAUUACUGAUAAGUCAUUUUUUUUUCUUUUCUCUUUUCUCUUUUAAAAAUUAAAGGUUGGUCAUUUUUAUUAUUGAUAUUUUAGUUUUGAUCUUCAUUCUUUCCAUAUUUAAUUAUUUUCUUUAACAUUUUGUAAGAGUUUUAUUUGUUUUCAAUUUAGUUCUUCAAUUUCAAUUUAUCAUAUAUUAUUUUUUUCAAUUUGAUCCUUGUUAUUUGAUUUCUAAAUUUUUUCAAUGCCCUGUUUGUGAAAGUUUUAUUGUUUUUUUUUUUAAUUUCUUCAUUCAAUCCAAUUUUAUGGUGUAUUAUAUUUCUAGUCCAGUCCUCAUUCUUUUGAUUUUCCCCUUUUGUUAAAAUUAUUUUUCAUUUCAAUUUAACGCUUUAAUAAGAAAAUUGGUUUCGCCUUCUAAUUUAUUUAUUUUUUCAAUUUCAUCCUCAUUCGUUUAAUUACUAUUUUAAAUUUUUUUAAAAAAUAUUUUGCAUUAAUGAUUUUUUUAUUUCAUCAUUCAAUAUUUAAUUUGUUAGGGACAUGGUUCAUGAUUUUUUCAUAUAAGGUAUUUUUUGUCUAAUGACCUAGAUCAUGAGUUUAAAAGGUUAACGUGGACUAACAUCCUAUUUUUAGCUUAUUGUUUUUCUUAUUUCAUCGUUUGAUAUUAGUUUUGUUUUCAAAAAAUAAAUAAUAAAAAUUUCACAUUCAACAUUAGUUUUUUUUCCUUCUUCUAUUUUUUUUAUUGCUAUUUGUUUUGUUUUUUAACUUCUUUUGAUUUAUUCUUAUAUUUGUUUCUAAUUAUUUGAUUUAAUUUGAUUUUUUAUAUCAAACCUAGUUUUCACUCUUUAGAAUAUUUUAUCCUUUUAUUAAUUGAGUUUUUGUUUUUUUUUUUUACUUUCAUCCUUAGCAUUUGAUUUCAAUUUUUUUAUGUCGAAUUUUGUCCUCGUUCUUUUUAUUGAUGUUUAUUUUGUUUAAGAUCCUUUUUUUUAUUGCAUUUUUCUUUGUUAAUUUUAUCCCUCAUCAUUUUUAUGGAGGAUUUUGCUUCUUUUUUUUCCACCUUCUAUGAGGUUAAUUUUAGCCUCAUGACUAGGAUCAUGAGUUUUGAAAAUUGACAUGAGGUGGCUUUGGGUUUUUUUUUUUUAUGUGCCUCAACGUUAGAUUUUUUAGAAUUGGUCUUCUUGCUUCUUCUUUUUUUUUUAAUUUUUUUUAUGUGGAAUUAUCUCAUUCUUAUAAAUAUGGUCACAAGGUUAACGUGUUCCCCGGGUUAACUCUAACAACUCAAAUCUUAUUUUAUUUUAAUUUUUUUUAAUUUAAUUGGAGGCAUCUUUUUAUUUCAAAUUUUGUUUUGUUAUUUUUUAGUGUUUAUCUUCUAUGCAGUCGAUCUCCUCAAUUUUCGCUUCAGUCAUGAUCAUGAGUUUCAAAAGUUCACACGUGUAGAUUUUUAUCUUUUUAGUUUUUUUUUAUAAUUAUUUUUUUAAAAUUUCACCCCUAAUAUUUAUUUUCUAAGGAAAAGAUCUUUGUCCUUUUACUUUUUACUUUUUUUUACAUUUAAGUUUUUGGUGUUAUCAAAUAUAUUAAUUCUAUUUAGUUAUUUAUUGAUCAAAUAUGAAUUUAUAUAACUUAUUGUAUAUAUAAACAUUUUAAUUUAUAAUUAGAGAUUUUUUAUAUUAAAAAACUUUAAUUUUUUUAUUAAAAAAAUCUAAUUCAUAGUAAAACAUGAGUGAAAUAUCUAAUUUGUUUUUUUGAAAACAAUAUUUUUUUAGUUUUUAAAAUAAAACUAAAACCAAUUAGUUUCGAAAUUGACUUUGCUCAAUCGGCCAAUCAGUUAAUCGGGUUUUGGAUUCGAUCAGACACGGGCCCGUAUGAAAUCUAUGGUCAGUCCCCACCUGAAGAAACGAGAGGCAGAGAGAAACCAAAGAGAUGAGGUAACGGCAUCGACAAGCCACACGAUUCAAUUCUCUACCAGGAUAUAUAUUGUUUCCUUUGAUAAGUCACAACACAAAUUCCACUACUCAUUUUCAGUGUCCUAGAUUUGAGUAAGUUUUAGUUCUUUUUCAAAGUGGGUGGUUUGAUUUAGCUUAGCUUACCGUGUUGUAAAUUAUCAUCUUUUUUGUUGAAUGCUGUACUUGGACGUCACUUUUUGUAGUAUCAUGGUGUUAGUGAUUGUAUUGUGAGGAACCCAGUUGGGGAAUUGGUUCAUUUGUUCUAAAUCUCCAGUUUGGUUUGUUUUAGCUUAGUGUGUUUUACUUACUUGUGAGUUAUACACUUGAAUAUGUUGUUUUGUGGAACGAGUUCUUUGUUUUUCAUGAUUUUGUUUAAAAAUGGAGCUCGAGCUUGAGUUUCUAGAAGCCAACUUAAGGAGCGUUCAUCUUGGUAUAAUGAAUUGAAGCGGUCAUGAUUCAGUUUUGCUCAUUUUGAUCCAUUUCUCACUUGUCUUUCGUAGUUUUGAUCCACAUUGAUGCCAUUUGUUUUCACUAUUCGAGAAAGAGGUUACUUUUUUUUUAAUGUCAAGGAAUCCUCUUAAUCUGAUUACUUACAUCAGAAUAUAAAAUUAAGAUAUGAGGUCUGUAAGACUCUUCAAUAUACAAAUUCCUUGUCCACCUUUAAAUAACAGAAUUUGACAAUUUUCAGUGAGCCUUGCAGGCAGUAACUUCCAUGCACAUCGGUUAUCAAUUCACCAAGUUUUGUGUUAUCAUGUCACAUAUUUCUUCAUAUACCUCUGGUAUAGUAUUUCUAUUGUAAAAAAUUUCAUUCAUGUAUUUGAAACCACAACUACUACAGAUAACAUUCCAUGGAGGUUUGCAACCAUUUUGCUCAGUCUGGAAGGAUUUCGAGUCCAUAUGUAUGUCGUAGACAGGGUACUUUUGGGAAUGUCAAAUAUAACACAUCACCAAAGAAUUUUCUUCAAAACACAAGCUAUAAAGUCUUUCUACUCCAAUUUUAUUGAAAGCUUUGCUUUCAUUAAUGAUCAUUCUUGCCCAAAUGAACUAGGCAACAUUAAUUGCAACUUUUAUAAGGAUUGGGAUUCUUCAGUUGGAGCAAUAGAUGAACUGCACCCACACCCUAUGGGAGGUGGUAAAUUGAAAUUCUUAGAAAGUUAUAACAUAUCUGAUGUUGAAGAAGGACCUUUGAACUUUGCAGACCAGUUUGCUGAUAAUACAGAUAGUUUAAUACAACUUGUGGAACCUGAAAUAACAUCAACUAUUGAUAUGACACCAUUGAAUCCCAAUUUGCGAUCUGAUUCCCUAGAAAUGGAUAACGAUUCAUUAUCUAGUGCAAAGGCUGGUUUGAUGAUUUUUUGGGCGAGGCUAGGGACUCCAUCAACACUUCAGUAAAUAAUGGAGGAAAUGUUGUGCAAAGCUCACUAGGCACAAUUACUUCUUCAAUAACAUCGAUUAAGAAAGGGGCUUCAGAAGCAGUAGAUGGUGCCUUGAGUAAAGUAUUCUCUACUUUUGAUCAAACAGAAGAAUUAGAUGCCAAAGAUUGACUAGCUUUUCAUCUAGUUUUAGGGAAGCCACACAAAAAGCAACUGGCACUUCUGUUGAUGUGCUCAGAGUUGCAAUCGUUGCAGUGGAGGAAUCUAUAGCAAAAGGGGCUUCUUUUGUUGAUUAUUCUUAUAGGCCUGCCAAGGAUUUGCUUCCUCUAGAGAUAAGGGAUGCACUGAAUUUGUCUGAAGAAAGGGUAACAGAGAUUUUGAGGCCAAUUGGUCCUACUUUUCAGCAGGUACAUUAUGCUUGGCACGUUUUACUUUGAUGGCCAUUGUACUCUCGUUUAAUUGUAUGGACUUGGAAAAAAAAAUCUCCUGCAAAGAUAUAUUUGGAUUAUUUUAGAAAUCUUUUUAUUGGAGACAUCAGUCACUACUUUCAGCUUACAGGACUUCUAGUUGAAAACUCAAUUGCGUCCAUCUCUGUUACACUUCUUAAUUAUGUGCUGAUCUAACUAAUUUAUGAUCCAAAACCAAAGCUAAAUUUCCUAAACCUGCUUUUACACCUUAAGCAGGUUUACAUUGCAAUUGAGGGGCUGGAGAAAAGUCUUGGCUUGGAUCCAAAUGAUCCAGUUGUGCCUUUAGUUCUUUUCCUUGGAACCUCAGCCACUUUGUGGUAUGGUUGUCCUUUUGUGCAUGAAGGAUUUGUUUAUUUAAUCUGCAUUACAUGGGAAGCUUAAGUUUUCUAUUAGAUUUGUGCAGGGGUUUUUAUAGGGUGUGGGUAUAUGGUGGUUACUCUAGAGAUUUGUCUUCGCAAUUAACUUUGGAGCUCUUGGCAGGGAAGGAAGACACCUUAUUGAUGUCCGGCCUGAGGCAAGAGAGUAAAUUUUCUGGCCUUUUAUGUUCCUAAGUUUCUUUUUUGUUAGAAAUUUUAUUACCUCAAUGAGAGACACUAAAGCUGACUGCUCAGACAUUUUUUACAUCACAGUAAAAAAAUCUCAAAUCUGGCACCCUCAUUAAUUUCCUUUUUUUGCUCCUUAACUUGGCAUUGAACUUGGUGGACAUUGUUUAUAUGAAGGUUCUUAGAGAAAGAGAUGGCAUUCCUGAUCUUAGGCGAGCUGCUCGGUUUCGCUAUGCAAUUGUAACUCUACUAGAGGUUGGUUUUAUUUGAUAAUACUAUUCAAAAGCUAUGAGUGGAGAGGUAUUGCUAUUUGGUAUGAGGAUGAUAGUUUAGAACAAUUACUUUGUUUCUAAAUGUCAAAUAACUCUUUGAACCAACAAUAAAAAAAAAUAAAACAAGAAUUGGAGCUUGAAUAUAUCCCUUUUUCAUAACUCUGUCUUAUAUUCUUCAACUUUAUUCAGGUUGAUGGCCCAGGAAGGAAGCUUUUAAAGGGUGGACGAGAUCUUGAUGACAUCUUAAUUGAUGCAGUCAUUCGAAACUUGAAAGCUAUACAGGUAUAGCUUUAUGUUUUAAGAGCUUCGAUAUAACUAUUGUUAUGCAUGCCAUCUUUAUUUCAAGACAUUCAGAAAAAUGAGAAUUCUGAGUAGUGCAAGAAAGAAAGGAAAUUCUCGAGGGGAGGGGGUUUGGGCUUGGUUUCAUCAAUGUUGUGUGUUUUAGCAUCAGUGGCCUCUGAGGCCACAAGAAAUUGUUUUGGUAUUACCAUAUGCAGUACAGUUGCUACAUCACAAUCUCCUGAGUGUUCCAUGUUUAAAUCCUGAAGCAGGAACAUUGUCUCAAAUUUACCAGGUAAUAGUUAUGGAUGUUGAUGGUUCUCGCAUUGCUAGAUCCUUGAGAAAGCUUGGGGUUAAGGCAGGUAUUUAGAAUCUCUAAGAUUUUUUUUUUUAUCACAUAAAAGCCUAAACAUGUAAUUCAUCGUGGAACUAUAAGGGCGAAAUGAAUUUAUCCACUCUCCCUUAGUCAAGUUUCUUUGGGAUAAAAACCAUUUCUGAGAGUUUUUCAGUAUCAGUAACCUUAGAAACAAAUAACAAUAUCCAUAUUAACCAGAUUUGGGAAGAGUACAUUAAUGUCUUUUGUGCAUUUACAAUGUUGUUAAGUCAAAAAUUGUUACUCCAUAUGCAUGUUUUUCUGUCUUAUAAAUGCUGUAGAUAGAACCCAAUUUUCAUUCAUGUUGUUCUCAAGUGGUAUAAUUCAGAAAGCACAUUAGUAUUACAUCUAACAUGUGUCCUUAAAAUAUCUCUCUCUCUAAAAAAAAAAAAAGUCUUUACAUUGCUUCAAUGGGAAGUUGCAAUGUAUUAAUCAAUUUCAAUAUUCUUUUAUUUCAUUCCAUAGAUUGCUGGGCUGUAUUGUUGUGUAAAUGACUUGCAAAGAAACAAGUUAAAUGCAUGAAUUCUAGAUGAUAUCAUGGUUCAUUCCUGGACUAAUCAUAUAAUUUACAUACAGAAGAUAGUAUAAUUUUGCAGAAUUAAACCUUGUGACCUGCAUUAUAAGAAAAUUUGAACUACCAGGUGAGUCUAUUGUUAAUCUGGAACCACAACCUAUUGUAUCAUAUUGCUAAUUGUUUGUUUGCAAUUUUAUGUGACAGAGACCAUACUUGGUCCAAGGUGGCUUCCAGUCUUGGGUAAAACAAGGUAUCCAAGCCAAGGAGCUUAAACCUGAGACAGUGCUAACCAUACUUAAUAAGGUAAGGUUAUUGCAUGACUUGCAUAUUCUCCUAACUAGUAUAAAGUUCUAGAAAUACAAAAUUCUAUUUGCUAAAAGCCAUCGAUCAACUCAAAGUAUAUGUGUGGAAAAUGACAAGCUAUAGAUUAUAUAAUAAUAUAUUCAGCCAGCUGAGAUAAAACUAGAGAAUUGAUUAAUUUGACAUUUGUUUCAAAAACACAUGGAAAGAGUGAAAUUUCUUUGUUGGGUGCACAAUAUUGGUGCCCAAUGGAUACUAUCAAAAUGGUAUCCAUACAGCACAGAACAACAUGCACACACAGAGGCAUAUGAGAUGUACUUGUGUCUGUGUAGUGCGUGUGUAAAUUUACGUGGAGAGACUUGUUUCAAAAACAAAUAAAAAGAGUGUGCUAUGUGCACUCACACUUGUAUGAACAUGUGCAUCAUGAGUGUUUGUAUAUAUGUAAUUGAUGGGCUACCAUAAACUGGGUAUGCAGGCCAUAGGAAUUGUGUAUGUUUCGAAGCAUGAGAGAGAGAGAGAGAGAUUUCAAAAAAAUAAAAAUAAAAAGAGCGUGCUAUGUGCAAUCACACUUGUAUGAACAUGUGCAUCCUGAGUAUUUGUGUAUAUGUAAUUGAUGGGCUACUAUAAACUGGGUAUGCAGGCCAUAGGAAUUGUGUAUGUUUCGAAGCAUGACGGUGCACAGAUUUAUGAAGUGAAAUUAUGCACAGUAUCCAAGUAUUGAUUCUUGAGAAAAAUGAUUACUUUGUCUUUAAGCAAUCUAAUGGUGUUAGAAUUGGCAUCUCUUGUUAAAGACUUUUGGUUCAGAUUGAAUUAUUUCUUUGGUGAACUAGAUUGAAUUAUAUGGAAUUCAAUUGGAGAAGUGAUUGUUAUUCGAACUGUAGUUUUCAUAAAUUUUUCGACGUGUUAGGUGCAAUUGAUUAAAGAACUCUUGAAGCUGUUGUGCAGAUAAUGUAGUAAGAAAUCAACAAGAGGUUGUAUCCCAAGUAUCUGAGCCCAAGUCUACAUGAACGUUUUGAAACAUUCAAUCAAACAAGUUGAUAUGAUUCAUUACAACUCAGAAAGUUAUUUUGAUAUAUGCAACAAGCUGACUUGGAUCAUUUUACAAUCUGGGAGGAAGGUUGUUCUCCUUGUUCAUACAAAUCAACAACCUUCAGAUUUCAAUCAACAUUUUUCUUGUUGCUAAGACCAUUUGGUCGUGUAGGAUUUACAUUCAAUAUGCUUUGUCAAUCUAUGCUAUUCUUUUCAUGGAUUGCAAAUUAUAAUUACAAGUAUUUUCUGGAAGUGCUUGAUUUUCUUGUGCAAGAUCUAAGCUUUUCACAAUAUACUUGAUAGUUGUGACAACUUGGCAUCAUUUCAGGAGGCUGAAGCAAUUCUAGAAGAUAUCAGACCUUUGCUAGUGCAAACACUUGGGUAUGGUGUGGUACGUGUUGGGCGGAAUCCGGCGACCGGUGAUGUACUGAUAAUUGCUCAACGGAGGGAAAGAACACUAAGACACAAUAUUUUACGUGGUUCGGCAAAACCGCCUACAUCCACGGGAGAGAGUCAUUUUAUUAUAGAAAGAGAAGGGAUACAAUAAAUACAUGGAGGAGGAGGCACAUCCACUCAACUCAACUCACUAUUCACGCAGCUGCAAUGGCUACAGGGCUGCUGCCCAUGGCAGCAGCUCUUUCUCUCCUCUUUCUCUUCACUUCAUUCUCAUGUUCUCUCACACCUUAGCUCUCAAAACAUGCCUCUUUUAUAGGCAAUGCUAGCACCAACUCCAGCUACUUUUCAUCAAUAAUGGCUGCUGAAUUUUGACAAUUGAGAAGGCUGCACAUGGGAGUCAAUGGUGGCUGCUCUUCUUCAACAAAGGUGGAUGGUCAAAGUCAAUGGUUAGGCACAUUAAUGGCAACACACCUAACAAUCACCCCCUUUGACAUUUAUAUGGGCAAUUGUCCUCUUGCUUCUUCAGCACAAUCUUGCAUCCUGCAGCUCUUCCAAGCUUACCAUUCCGAGAGCGUCUCUGGCCAAGUUUACAGGUACUCGCCAAACCUUUCAAUCACCAGAGUCACCAAAGCACACCCUUGCUUACACCAAAGGAUCACUUCAACCAGAUGGUCUCACACAUCACAUCUGAAGAGUGUUAACGCUUGUCUCUGGGAACAUUCCCCUUCGAGCGUAUCAACCAUGCUCGGUCCGGAAUGAUUUAUCAAGCCUCACACCAAGGCUUACAACACCCCCUCAAACGGAUAUUCCAAGUGCGACAGUCAUUAUCUGAGUAUCUCAAUAUGAUCACAAGCCCACCACUCUUCCAAGAGUCUACUCAUCCAGGAGUUGCGCCUGCCCUCUGUUCCACCGUAGGAACCACGCCUUACUUCUCCGUGAGUCUCUCGCUCUUAGUCGUAAGAGUCCAGGUAGCUCUCCACCUUUAACCAUGGGGGCAACCCAUUAAAGGUUGAUCCAUAUCUGUCUUCAUACUCUGAGUAUUACAAUGCCAUCUCCGAGCUCACCACCUUGACAAGAGUCAACUCGUUCCCGGAACCUGCGCAUGCCCUCUGCUCCUUCAUAGCAGCCGCGUCUUAAUGCUCCACAAGUCACCACUUAUUGUCCAAGGCAAAUGUCUUCUAGCUCAUUGAUCUUUAGCAUGGGGGCAAUAUCCAUGAAAGUCAAUCCUGCAUUUGUCUUCAUACUCAUCAUAGCCACUUCAUUGGCUAUCCACCUGUCCACUCAUAUCUAGCCAUCACAUUGGCUCUGGGGCGUUCUGAACUGGGCUCAUAUCGUGGCCCACACACCUUCUCCUUAGGUGUCUCCGCUCGUCGUCAUGCGGCGGUCUGAAAUCUGGGCUCAUAUCAUGGCCCUCACACCUUCCAUCCGAGGUGUCUCCGCUCGUCGUGGAGCGGUCUCAUCCUCCUUCAUCGGGAUGACUCAAGUGGCUUCAAGAUUCUCUACCACCAUGUGGACUUGGGAGAGAUUACUGCCACUGACUACAUAGAAAGAGAAAAUUGCGGUAUACUCCUCGCAAUCCUCCACCUUGAUUUCUAUGUUUGGAGCUUCUAUGCCUUUCUGCUUGACAGCUCCACCUACACCAACUCUCUUUGGUGGCUUCGCCUUUCAUCAUAGGCGGUCGCCUUUUAUCACAGGCGUUUGCACCCCCUCAAUUAGGUGCCUCUGCAACAGCUCAUCUUUCCAUCCUUGCAUGCAUUGGAAAGGUCCUCGCUUGUUGUCUUUAUCAAGAGCAUAAGAGACUUCAUGUUGUACAUUCUUCACACAGUCUCUGCUCUGAGCUUCAUCUGGGAACUCUUCUUCUCCUUGCACCUGUUGUCUCAUUACAGUACCUCGUUGGAUCCCUCGGGUACUCUUGCACAAUCUCGUGUGCCCUCGUGCAAUUACUGUUCUCCAGAUUUCUCCCUAUUCCUUGCUUAUGUUUGACAGCAGCUCAUCCCGUCACAACACCUGUCCAAGUCAAAAUAGGGUGCCAAUCUUUAUCCCCUUGCUGUAUUUCUCUUCCAUUAUCAGGGUCUUCAUCAAUUCUCCCUCGAGAAAUCACAGUCACCGAAUCUGCUUCUUUGGAGAAAUCACCACUCCAUCAGAUCCUUGAUCAUGCGGAACCCAACUGUUCCCCUUGUGCCGUCAUCCUGCUAGUCUUCAACCGUUUCAUUACAAACUGCUAUAUAUACGAAAAUAGUACCGUAUGGAUAAUCCUUCCACUAAGCAAGUUCCCAGGAAAGAUUGGAGGGGUCACAACGGUCCCGCUUAAAACCCAAUCUCCUAGACAGAACUUCUUAGGCCAUAUCUAUCCAUCGUACUGUCUCUCCGUAUAUACAACCAUUUGCUAGCUUUGUUGCGGCUUUCCUUUACAAGUGAUCUGGAAUAUACAGGUUUAAUACAUGAUUUCUCAACAUCUAGCGAGACUACUAGUGCUUAGAUUCGUCAAGAUUGGUCUUCGUCAAUUUCCACUCUCCACCUCAAAUCGUCCACAUAACCGGGUGUCCAGAGUGUCCCAAUUUUGCCUUCCAUCAAGGCAUUAAAUUUAACCAUUUAACAGUUCAGCACAUGUAAUUGGGUAAACAUGUGCACCUUCUUCUUCUUCAUCUCCAUCGACCACUAUGAUGACCUUCAGAUGCCUCCUGAUCGGGCAAUCUCUCUUUAAUAAUUCACCACCGCCAUUUUUGGUCUCGAAUCUCAACGAUCGGACCGUACCAUUGCAUCCGGAAUGAUAAAAUUAGCUGGAAACAUGUCUUAAAUCGUCCAAAUCACACUUCAGACGGCUAAGCUUUGAUCAAAACAAUUCUGGCAUGAUCAACGGCUCAGAUUCAAUCUCAGAUUCGGUUGCACGUAGGAUCAGCUACACUGGAUCCUAUCCCUCGGCUCGGCUCAACUCGGCUCGCGGCUGAUGACGUGGCAGGUGGGCCCCCUAUGCUGACACGGAUGUUGACUAGUCAAUUUCUUGUUGACUGUGUAUGAUGAUGUCAUCCUUGCAUCAUGCUGAUGUCAUCCUGUUCAUGAUACCGUCACUAUUCAUGUCUACUGUUCACAUUGGUCGGGUCAACUGGUAUUCGGGUCGGGUCAACUCAUCCGGGUGAAGAAGAUGCGUGGGGCGCGUCUGUGCGCGUGGGCAGACGCCUUGCCGGAGAGUGAUGGAGAGUGCGGCCAUGUCCGACGUCCGAUUUUGACGCCGUUUUCACCGGUGGCUUCGUAUCGUCGUCCUCUACACAGUGGGAUGGUCAAAACACCAUUUGGACAACUUUCAUUUUUGAGCAAAAAAUCAAACACCACUUAAACCAUUUGGCUCUGAUACCAAUUGUUGGGCGGAAUCCGGCGACCGGUGAUGUACUGAUAAUUGCUCAACGGAGGGAAAGAACACUAAGACACAAUAUUUUACGUGGUUCGGCAAAACCGCCUACAUCCACGGGAGAGAGUCAUUUUAUUAUAGAAAGAGAAGGGAUACAAUAAAUACAUGGAGGAGGAGGCACAUCCACUCAACUCAACUCACUAUUCACGCAGCUGCAAUGGCUACAGGGCUGCUGCCCAUGGCAGCAGCUCUUUCUCUCCUCUUUCUCUUCACUUCAUUCUCAUGUUCUCUCACACCUUAGCUCUCAAAACAUGCCUCUUUUAUAGGCAAAUGCUAGCACCAACUCCAGCUACUUUUCAUCAAUAAUGGCUGCUGAAUUUUGACAAUUGAGAAGGCUGCACAUGGGAGUCAAUGGUGGCUGUCAUCUUCUUCAACAAAGGUGGAUGGUCAAAGUCAAGGUUAGGCAUAUUCAAGCAACACACCUAACAAUACGAAAUCAGAUUGCUUUUUUGUGAUACUGCACUAUGAUUAGUCUAUUUCAAUCAUUUCUACACUUGGAUUUCUUUUCCCCAAAAUCCAUCUUUUUUUUAAAAAAGGAUAUCUUGUGUCUAGAGAGAUGUGUUUAAGGGAUGGGAAUGAUCUUUUUAUUUUGUAGCAAGGACAUAAAAUAAUUACAGGUUGAUUUCUCUGUUUUGAAUGUAUGCUUCUGUAUGGUCUAGAGACAUGCUUCCAUAAAUAUGUGUACAUGAUUAACUAGAACUAUUCAUGCUGUUUACAUCAGGUCUUCAUUAAUCAUCAAUCCAUGAUUGAUAAAUAUCUAUUGCUUACCAUGCAAAUGUCCAGUGCAUCCUUUACUUAUACUAUAUUCACGCUGUGGACAGGGUUUUGCUGCAGCAUCAUAUGCAUUGCUAGGUUUGUACAUUUUCUUUUCUUUUCUUUCUUGUUGCUUUCUUCACGUUCUUCUUGCCAACCAAGCUUGAACUUUGUUUCAGAGUGGGAGAAGACCAUACAAUUUAUUGACAUCAUUGGCUUCAGUCAGGUAUACUUUUAUUUGUUAUAUUGCCCUGGUUAAUGUUCCUUUCACACACACAUAGAUGUUGAUUUCUAAGCUGAUAAUGAUUAAAACAAACUUCACACAUUCUGAUAUUGUGCUAGUACUCAGAUCCUUUGAUGUAAUCCGUGAAAAUAACAUGUAUCCUUUGAUAAUAGAUCUCCUUUGUCUAUUUUGCAUGUGUCCUAGGGAAAGCUUUAUGUCAUUGCUAAAUUUAGUUAAGUGAACAUUGAGUUUCUCUAAUUAUUGGUUUCUCAUACUCUGUCAGACUAUUGAUCAGCGGGUUGCUUCUUACAAUGGCCCUGAUGAUUUUAAGCAAGCUGUGAGGUAUAAAUUAGUUUGCUUAGGCUAGUUUUGAGUUUAUUUGAAAGAGUUAUAAAAUGUACAAUAAUAAAAUCUUGAAUUUAAAGUUUUUAUGUACUUACUGUUUUUCUUGAAUAAAUGCGCUAGAUGGUUGUUAUAGUUAGUUGAGGAAUUAGUUGAAUAACAGAAAGUUAGUUCGUUAGUCAGUUGCAAGGGAAGAACAAUAUUUACAACUAUCUUGAAAACCAAGUAAUAAUUGAAGAUCAAUUUGCAGUAAUUACAGAACUCUCUCUCCCUUUCUAUUUUCUUUUAUAUCUCCCAAAAUUUUCUUUUGAACUUUUUGUCCGCCGGUAUAUUUUCAUCAAAGUGCAGAUACACCCCCCAGCUUUUCAACUCCAAAGGCCUUUGGAUAUAAUGACCUACCUCCGUAACUCCAAGGUUGUAGAAAUUAAAUGUAACUUCAUUGCCAGAAUAUUGAUGUAAAUAAUUUCCCAAUUGGCGCUCGUAGUGUAGAAUCAUGUGAUAGGAGUCACAUGACACCAAGACAUCUGUUGGAAUCUGGUCUACCCCUAAAACAAAGUCGUAGACUUUAUCGUUUUUACACUUAACAUAGCAAUCACAAUAUGCCCUAUGAAAGGGAAGAGGGCCUAGAAAGACAAGGCAGAAAGCAAUUCCCUUGAGCGGACGACAAUUUGAGGGCAACUGUAUGGUGACUGAAGAUCCAAUUCCUUUGUCACCGAACCAUUCUGGAAUUUCACUCCCCGGUAGAACCAUAUCAAUUCUGCCAUUUAGGAUCUCCUCUCCGGACUGUAAUACAAAAGUCACAUUUCGAAAAUGUGAUGAAGCAAGCAAGAAAGAGAGAAGAAAUAAAGACGGGGUUAAAAGGGAUACCUGAAUUCUCAAAUGCAUUGCCUCUAUCAGUUGUUUCUGAUCCAAUUUGAAGCAAUUUCUAAAAUCCCAUUUGAAGCAGAUAUUGAUAGUUGAUGUCACGGUUUUUAGUGAUGCACAGUCAUGUGCUUUUAGAGUCUUCAGCGAAGGGGGAAGUUCAGGUAGCUCUUUAAUAGGUGUUCUACUCAAAGUCAGAUAUUCCAAACAUACCAUAUCUUUGAUUGACAAGGGUAGCUCUUUAAUAGGCGUUCUAUUCAAAGUCAGUUCUUUCAAACAUACCAUAUGCUUCAUUAAUGAUGAGGGUAUCUCUUUAAUGCCUGUUUCACCCAAGUGAAGAUAAGUCAACGUUUUGAGUCUUGUGAGAAACUGGAUUGAUGAUGGCACCUCUUUAAUAGCAGUUCCCUUUAGAUUUAAGCUUGUUAUAUCCCCUGAAAUCUCUGGAAACUUGGUGAUCUCCCGGCAACCACUUAGAGAAAGAUGAACCAAAUUGCCAGUAACUGAUUGUGGAACUUCUUUGAUAGAAGUUUGUUCCAACUCUAACUGUGUCAUAUUUUGUGAAAUCGUUGGACACGUGGUCACAUUUAGGCACCGACUUAUUACAAGGUAUAUGAGAACCUUUGAAUCAAGCAUUGGAAAACUUCUAAGAUUAUAGCAACCAGUGAGAUCAAUAACUUCCAGCUUGUCAAGAUAUUGAAGAGAUGACGGAACCUCGGUUAACCUUUUACAGUUACGAAGUCUUAAGCACUCUAAAUUGUUGGCCUUUGAUAGAUCUGGCAAUUCCGUCAAAUAUGGAGAGUCAGAUAGGUCAAUUGUUCUUAAAUUUCCAACAUCCUGUCAACAGAAAAAGGCAUAAUUAGAAAGUUAGCACCUCCAACUUCAUAUUUCUGAUCAUAAAUCUGUAGCAAUUAAAUCAUACCUUUACUACUGUCCAAAGUUUUACAAGCUUGCUUUUGCGUAGGCGAAGCUCGACAAGGUGUUCAGCACGAAAAGAUGGCGGCAAGGAUUUCGAAGGGAAUCCAUCCCAUCGCAAAUAUCUCAGCUCAUUAGGAAGAUAUUCGAGGCCAGUAGGAGGAAGGUGCAUUUUAUUUUCUAGGGAGAAAAAAUCGUGAGAGAAAUUGAGAAAUCUAAGACCAUCCAUCAUUGCGAAGGCAUCAGAUUUCAAGUGUAUGUCUCCCGAGAAUUCGGACAUGUCCAAAGAUAUGCCUUUAAUUUUUCGAGUUCCCUGUUAAACAAGAAUAAAGAAUAAACAAACAAUAAUACAAUCUACGCAAACACAUCAACUUUUGAGCAAAUACAUGAUCGACAGUUAAUGGCUGUAGCUUUCACCUUAUUUUCCUCCAAUACUUGAACGACAUCAGGAGGAUGACACAACCAGCUACGUUCGCCAGGAAAAUCAGAUUCUGCACGAACAAUGUUAAAUGCCAUUUCUUGUAGUAAAUCAUGCAUUUCUAGCCAGUAAUGAGUUGGAGUUAUGAGACACUUAUCAAUGAGCAUGCUUAUAUCGAACUCCACAGACCGAUCAUAUAAGCCAUCUAAUAACAUUCUUGUUACUUCUUCUGGCUCCCUCCUAUUGAAGAAGAAAUGUGCUAUGUCAAGAAAUAUGGAUUUUUGUUCUGAAUCCAACCCAUCGUAACUAAUUCUCAACGCCCUUUCGAUUUGAGGGUGCUGAGCUAGUUUAUUCAAUGCACUGCGCCAUUCUUCGAUGCUUUUACCAUAGAGAGAGGAACCCAAAACUUUAAGAGCCAACGGAUUGCCUUGUACAUGCCUUGCAAUCUGUUCUAUCAAGUCUCUUUGAUCAAUUGUGGGGAUGCAAUUCUUCAAGGCUUUCGAGCUAAAGAGUCGAAUAGCUUCUUCAUCGUUCAACCCCUCAACCUCGUAUGUCUCAUCAACUACAUUACUAAGCACUUGCUUGUCCCUACUUGUUAUGAGAACUUUACUGCCCGGACCAAAUGAACUGUUUCGUCCAUCAAGCAAAUCUCUCCAUUCUUCCAAACGCAUUAAAUCAUCCACAUCAUCCAGAACAAUAAAAACCUUUAUACGACGAAGUCUAUCCCUCACAAAAGAAUCUCGAAAACUCAAGUAGCCCAUAGUGUUCAGAGUUUCUUGGCCAAGCAGCCGUUUAAGAAAUUUUCUUCGCAAAUCAGAUUGUUGCCUAAAGUUUUCAAAAAAGAUUCCUUCAAAUCGAGAACAAACCUUGCUGCACACAGCUUCAGCAAUCGUUGUCUUACCGAUACCACCCAUUCCCCAUAUCCCUAUAAUGAGAACAUCUGGAGAAUUUAUAUUUAACAAAGACUCAACUUUGCUAACACGAACAUCAAUUCCAAAUAGACCAGCCGUAGUGUGACAUGACUCGAUAGAUCCGGAGGAAGACAUGGCAUGCAAUUUUUUCAAAACAUCUCCAACGAUUUUCUCAAUAAAUUCAGACUCCGGCCUGACAAACAAGAAGAACACACAUAAUUGUUAGUCAAAAUGGACCGGACAAGAAGAAACAUAUAAACAUACUCACUCCUUAGUAGCUACAUCUAUACAUAGUAGACACGUAUGAGUUAUUUAGCAUCAUUAUUGGCAAUGGAUAGUGCUAAUGUAACACAUGAAUCGAUGAUAACAUUGAGUUGAGUGAUAUGUAAAAAUACAUGACAUUCUUCAGUGAUAUGCAUGUAACACAUGAAUCGAUGAUAACAUUGAGUUCAGUGAUAUAUAACACGUAAAAACUGGAAACUACAUGUAAUCGGUGUUUAUCUAAUAAAAUCAAUUAAAUGCAAAUGCAUAUGAUGUUUUCUCAUGCCAUCCUUUUCACCUCAAACAAAUAGAAUAUUAUUUAACGACAAAAGAAAACUUUGUCUGUCCUUGUAAAAUUUACCGUAAGGAUCAAAAAAAUAUUUUUUAAAAAUAUAUUAUUUUUUAUAUAAAUACAUCAAAAUAAUCUUAAAAGACUUAAAAAAAUAUUUAAAAAAAAAAUAAUUCAAAAAUAUAUUUUUUUUGAAACAAAAAAAUAAACAACCACUUAAUAUCAAUACAAGCCUUAAUAUUUAUACAAGCGUUCCCCUACAAAUAAUUUUUUUUUCAAAAUUAUUUUUAAUAUAAACAUAUUAAAAUAAUUUAAAAAUACUAAAAAAAUUAAUUUAAAAUAAAAGCAAUUUAAUUUUUUUACAAAACAUUUUAAAACACAAAACAAACAACCACUUAAUAUCUAUACAAACAUUUUAUAUUAAAUAAUAAUUUUUUAUUUUUUAAAAAUAUUUUUUAAUAUACACACAAAUAAUAUAAAAACACUAAAAUAAAAUAAAAUUUUUUUAAAAACAAUUUUAAAACACAAAACAACCAACCACGUAAUAUCUAUCCAAGUGCUUCGCCACAACGUUUACAAAAUCAAAUAAAAUAAAUAUGAAUUCACAGAGCUCAUCAUUCUCAAUAAUUUUAAAUUAAAUUUCAAAUCCUCAACAAAUGAACGAAUAUUUUCUCAUGGGAUAUAUUUCAAGAGCUUACCCAGAAUUCCCUAAGCCCCAUCCAGAUAGAUUGGCUGCAUCCGUCAAAGCGUCUCUGAAGCUCUGCACUUCUUCCAACGUCAGAGCUUUAUUCCUUAUAAGUCUAGCAAAUGCAUCCCCAAAGCUUCCUGUUUGAUGUCUUACAUGGGUUGGAUCCACCUUGUAGAAUACCGGAAUAACUAUCUGUCCAUUGUUUUUUCUACACUCAAAAAUCUUUACAAGCUCCUCCAAGCACCAUUUGGAAGAUGCAUAGUUUUCAGAAAAAACAAUCACAGAAAGCUUGGCCUCUUCAAUUGUUCUCAGAAGUGAUGCCGAGAUCUCAUCUCCUCUCACAAGCUGAUUAUCUAUGAAAGUUAGGAUUUGUUUCCGGUCCAAAGCAGCAAGGAGGUGGCUGGUAAAACCAGCAAGAGUGUCUUGUUCGCUGAAACUAAGGAAGACAUCAUAUUUAAUUCCUUGUGGCUGGGCGGUGGUUAAGGUGGAAGGAGUAGAUGGCGAUGGAGAUAUAUGAUGGUUUCGUAUGAUGAAUCUCCAGAUAUAAGCAAACAUUUCGAAGAAACAAGAGUAAUUAGACUCUGGUGGUAAGGUAGGUCUGGAGGGAGAGAGCGGAAGUAACUCAAGGAAAAAAGAUGAGGCUGAUUUUGAAUCAGUAGCUUAGGCUUUACGUGUUUAAGACCCUGCCUUAGGCAUAUGUAUAAUUUAUAGGCAUCAAAUCCAAGAAUUUUCUUAGAAC